AGAGUUUGAUCAUGGCUCAGAACGUACGCUGGCGGCACGCCUAACACAUGCAAGUCGAACGAAGUAGCAAUACUUAGUGGCAGACGGGUGAGUAACAUGUAGGUAUCUACCCUUUGGCCUGGAAUAACACGAGGAAACUUGUGCUAAUACCGGAUAAGUCUUUACGGAGAAAGCUUUAUGCACCAUUGGAUGAGCCUGCACUUGAUUAGUUUGUUGGUAGGGUAAUGGCCUACCAAGACUAUGAUCAAUAGCUGAUUUGAGAGGAUGAUCAGCCACAUUGGGACUGAGACACGGCCCAAACUCCUACGGGAGGCAGCAGUGGGGAAUCUUGCACAAUGGAGGAAACUCUGAUGCAGCGAUGCCGCGUGAGUGAAGAAGGCCCUUGGGUUGUAAAGCUCUUUCGUCGGGGAAGAAAAUGACUGUACCCGAAUAAGAAGGUCCGGCUAACUUCGUGCCAGCAGCCGCGGUAAUACGAAGGGACCUAGCGUAGUUCGGAAUUACUGGGCUUAAAGAGUUCGUAGGUGGUUGAAAAAGUUGGUGGUGAAAUCCCAGAGCUUAACUCUGGAACUGCCAUCAAAACUUUUCAGCUAGAGUAUGAUAGAGGAAAGCAGAAUUUCUAGUGUAGAGGUGAAAUUCGUAGAUAUUAGAAAGAAUACCAAUUGCGAAGGCAGCUUUCUGGAUCAUUACUGACACUGAGGAACGAAAGCAUGGGUAGCGAAGAGGAUUAGAUACCCUCGUAGUCCAUGCCGUAAACGAUGUGUGUUAGACGUUGGAAAUUUAUUUUCAGUGUCGCAGCGAAAGCGAUAAACACACCGCCUGGGGAGUACGACCGCAAGGUUAAAACUCAAAUGAAUUGACGGGGACCCGCACAAGUAGUGGAGCAUGUGGUUUAAUUCGAAGAUACGCGCAGAACCUUACCAACACUUGACAUGUUCGUCGCGACUCUAAGAGAUUAGAGUUUUCGGUUCGGCCGGACGAAACACAGGUGCUGCAUGGCUGUCGUCAGCUCGUGUCGUGAGAUGUUGGGUUAAGUCCCGCAACGAGCGCAACCCUCACUUUUAGUUGCCAUCAUUAAGUUGGGCACUCUGAAAGAACUGCCAGUGAUAAGCUGGAGGAAGGUGGGGAUGACGUCAAGUCCUCAUGGCCCUUACGUGUUGGGCUACACACGUGCUACAAUGGUAUCUACAACAGGAAGCAAAACGGCAACGUUAAGCAAAUCCCGAAAAGAUACCUCAGUUCGGAUUGCACUCUGCAACUCGAGUGCAUGAAGCUGGAAUUACUAGUAAUCGUGGAUCAGCGUGCCACGGUGAAUGCGUUCCCGGGUCUUGUACACACCGCCCGUCACACCAUGGGAGUUGGUUCUACCUUAAGGCAAGGUUUUAAACCCUUGACCACGGUAUAGUCAGCGACUGGGGUGAAGUCGUAACAAGGUA
Molecule: ribosomal RNA, 1433 nt
Filed under: uncultured bacterium
Lineage: Bacteria
Description: bacterial SSU rRNA
Rfam family: Bacterial small subunit ribosomal RNA
Source: RNAcentral